This 74-nucleotide transfer RNA is filed under the name Sulfolobus sp. S-194. Its description in RNAcentral is "tRNA-Ile". It matches the Rfam family "tRNA". Rfam says of the family: Transfer RNA (tRNA) molecules are approximately 80 nucleotides in length. Their secondary structure includes four short double-helical elements and three loops (D, anti-codon, and T loops). Further hydrogen bonds mediate the characteristic L-shaped molecular structure. tRNAs have two regions of fundamental functional importance: the anti-codon, which is responsible for specific mRNA codon recognition, and the 3' end, to which the tRNAs corresponding amino acid is attached (by aminoacyl-tRNA synthetases). tRNAs cope with the degeneracy of the genetic code in two manners: having more than one tRNA (with a specific anti-codon) for a particular amino acid; and 'wobble' base-pairing, i.e. permitting non-standard base-pairing at the 3rd anti-codon position. Lineage: Archaea; Thermoproteati; Thermoproteota; Thermoprotei; Sulfolobales; Sulfolobaceae. The record is from RNAcentral.
GGGCCCGUAGCUUAGCUUGGUGGAGCGCCCGGCUGAUAACCGGGAGGUCGCGGGUUCAAGUCCCGCCGGGCCCA